Long non-coding RNA from Oncorhynchus kisutch (coho salmon), 1882 nucleotides. NCBI's taxonomy places the organism in Eukaryota, Metazoa, Chordata, Actinopteri, Salmoniformes, Salmonidae. The record is from Ensembl.
AUGAGCUCACUAAGUAAGACGGAGAACGGUCUGGUGAAAGGAGAGGAAGAAGCUUUCAGAAUGAAAACGGAUGAAGAGGAGGCUAUCACAUUGAAAGAAGAAGAGGAUGAUAUUACAGUGAAAGAGGAAUAUGGGAAAGAGGUUGUCAAAGUUGAAGAAGAGGUAGAAGCUUUCAGAAUAAAAAAGGAGGAAGGUGCCGUAACAUUGAAAGAGGAGGAAGACCCUUUUGGAGUAAAAGAGGAGGAUAUCUCAAUAAAAGAGGAAGACGUUUUGGGAGUGAAAGAGGAGGAGACUGAAGAUCAGAUUAACCCCAGAGAGAGACACAACUAUCAUGGAUUCUCUGGGGAGCCUCAACAACAUCCUGAAGCUGACGAGUCAGAGAAUAGUCUCUACAGAUCAGAACACCAGAUGGUGCAGCUUGGCAUGAGAAGGAAAACAACGUGGCUGUUAUGAAAGUGAACUGUGUUCUCGUGUGAUCAGCGGUGUAUUCAUGUGCCGAUUGUUGUUGACAAAGUUUCUUAAACGGAACAAAACGGGGAUAAACAUACCUGAAUUUGUCCAAUAGAAACUCUUGUUUGCAACUGCUGGAUUAAUGAUUACCCACUAUAUCAGCUAGAUGCAGGCAAGAGUAUGCAAGGUGGUAUUGAAUGUGUCACUGUCACUGACCUGUGUGCACCUACGUUGUAAACUUCAUUCAUAGGCUAGGUUGUAGCAACCUCAUGAUUUGUAAAGGGAACAUUUGAGAAUCAUGUAGUAGCCUAAACCUAUCGCUGUUACAUUGAACAGGGUGAAUCGAAUAUGAAUGACAGUUGAAUGAGAGUCAUCCAACAUGCUGUAGUAGAAAUAAGGCCAUGCUCAUGAAAAACAAAAUGGUCCUCCCUAAUCUGAAACGGCACUGACCGCCACAGUUUGGGUGGUGGACCAUUCUUUCUACACUUGGGAAACUGUUGAGCUGAAAACCACAGCAGUGUUGCAGUUCUUGACACAAACCGGUGCGCCUGGCACCUACUACCAUACCCCGUUCAAAGGCACUUAAAUAUUUUGUCUUCCCAAUUCACCCUCUGAAUGGCACACAUGCACAAUCCAUGUCUCAUUUGUCUCAAGGCUUAAAAAUCCUUAUUUAACCUGUCUCCCCCCCUUCAUCUACACUGAUUGAGUUGGAUUUAACUACUGACAUCAAUAAGGGAUUGUAGCUUUAGCCUGAAUUAAUCUAGUCAGUCUAAGUCAUGGAAGGAGCAGGUGUUCUUAAUGUUUUGUAUACUCCGUGUAUAGCACUACAGAUAAUCAAGUGCUAUUUGGCUUUAAGGGAAUAGUAUGGUCACAUCGAGAUAAAAACGAAUGUGAAAAAUGAACAGAGAAAAUGUGUAUUAACACACUACCUAUUCCAAAAUGCGUUACUCACUCCAGUCAGCAGAUGACGAUGUGCGUCUUGCAUGACGUAUAAUUAACUGGACGGGACGCUUCUUCAGGAACAACAACACGGCUACUCUUUCAACCACCUCGGUAGCUUGCUAGCCAACAUAAAACUGAAAGAUUGAUUAUUUAGACCAUGUUAAUGUACAUUAGCUAAUCUCAGUGUUUUAAACAAAUUUCGGUUGACUUAUCUAAUGGUUAACUUUAACCUAAUGUGCUUGUUCAAUUUGCAAACGUGUUAAAUAUUGAUAGUGUCUAGGCUAGUCGCUAAUGCUACCUAAACUUGCUAACUAACAUCCCUGACCAUGAGCUCACUAAACUUCUCCUCCCUUUCGACCAUGUUUGUGUACAUUAGCUAAUCUGUGUUUUAAACACAUUUCUGUUGAUGGAUCAACUGGUCAACUUAAUUUGCAAACGUGUUAAAGAUUGAUACUGAAGUUAGCACUAGGCUAGUCGCUAAUGCUAACUA